CCAAUAGCGUAUAUUAAAGUUGUUGCAGUUAAAAAGCUCGUAGUUGAAUUUCGGGAUCAGUACGCUGGUCGUGCCUCCGGUAUGUACUGGUGUCACUGGUUCCUCCCUUCUGAAGAACCAUCAUGCUAUUAAUUUAGUGUGGUGGGAAAUCAGGACUGUUACUUUGAAAAAAUUAGAGUGUUUAAAGCAGGCUCACGCUUGAAUACAUUAGCAUGGAAUAAUGAAAUAGGACGUUGAUCCUAUUUUGUUGGUUUCUAGGAUUGACGUAAUGAUUAAUAGGGAUAGUUGGGGGCAUUAGUAUUCAAUUGUCAGAGGUGAAAUUCUUGGAUUUAUUGAAGACUAACUACUGCGAAAGCAUUUGCCAAGGAUGUUUUCAUUAAUCAAGAACGAAAGUUAGGGGAUCGAAGACGAUCAGAUACCGUCGUAGUCUUAACCAUAAACUAUGCCGACUAGGGAUCGGAUGAUGUUAAUUUUUUAAUAACUCAUUCGGCGCCUUACG
RNAcentral lists this ribosomal RNA (499 nucleotides) under uncultured Glomeromycotina. RNAcentral's name for it is "partial small subunit ribosomal RNA". It matches the Rfam family "Eukaryotic small subunit ribosomal RNA", at positions 591 to 1092 of the family's 1831-position model. Lineage: Eukaryota; Fungi; Glomeromycota. The record is from RNAcentral.